RNAcentral lists this non-coding RNA (30 nucleotides) under Rattus norvegicus (Norway rat). The record is from RNAcentral. Lineage: Eukaryota; Metazoa; Chordata; Mammalia; Rodentia; Muridae.
UAGGUUUCUAUCACCUCAUUGAAUAUUUGC